CUUUUUUUUUUUUUUUUUUUUGCUUUUUUGCUUAAUUAAUGGCACUGAUCUUACCUGGACUUUUAAACUUGAAUUUUUCCUGCACUUUAAUUCAAUCAUGAUAUUUUAUUCCUUAAUUUUGUUUCUGCAUUUGUGCAGUUCAGGUUCAUUAUUUGUAUAUAAACACAAGUUCAAUAAAGACUUUAGAACAGAUUACUUUCAGGCACCUUUGCUAAUUAUGUGAUUUAUUUAGAAUGUGUGUUUUCUUAGCAAAAUAUGUAUAUACGAUAUAGAAUCUAAUGAAAGGCACGUAUUCUGUGUCAGCAUUCAGUUUAUAAAUUACUGCAACACUUUCACAUUUGUUACUAGAUAAUACAAAAGAAAUCUGUUAUAUUUAUACAUACUGCUUAAGAAUAUACUUUUAGUUUUAAAUAAUUUUUAUAUGUACACUUCUACCUUUAAUUUUAAAAAUACUUACGUUCAAGUUUUAAGUCAAAGUACUUAAAGUAUGUAUAUUAUCCAUAGAAGUUGUUUUAAGCUUAUGAAUACAUUCAUAUCUCAUAUCGAGAUGAUACAAUUACUAAGCAAUUAAAACAAAUAGCCCAUUUUGCUUUGCAGAAAAUAAUGAGUUAUUUUUACCUCCCAUUAUGAACAUCCUUGAACAAUUCUCCAAGUAUGAAGGAAGAAGAUAGGGAACUAGCCUAAUAUUAACAUUUUCUCAAUAGCUGCAGUCCAUGGCUGACUGGUUUUCUAUGGUUUGGGUUUUUUUCUGGUACACACAAGAGACUUUUUUCAGCUCUAUUUCUUGGACUUUUAAAAUUCUCCAAAACUGAAGUGAGGUUUGUCCAAUAAACAUUUUCUUUGAGUAAUCUGUGUAGUUUGAUUAUGCAUCAACUCUUCACGCAUAAAUCAGGGUUGGUUUUUAUGUGGGUUUGUUCUGUUGGGGUUUUUUGUGUCUGAAACAUGUGUUGGAAAACUUAAGAGUCUGUGGCUUGAAGUGCCCUCUACUUUCUGCUUGUGGUUUAACAUGUCUGGGCCGGCACCGACUGCAGAAUCUGGUGUGGGAGGGAAGGACUGCGGUGCCUUGCCUCCCUCUCUAGGUAGAAGGGCAACUUGUCACUUGAAUCUUCUCUCAUGCCAGCCAAUUUCCUGGGUAAUUGAUUUGAGUCUUUUUGGGUGGAUGUUGAUAACUUUGCUACUACCACAAAAUCUUCAAAUAAUCUGUAGACAGAACUUAAUGAUGCAUGAGGGGUGGAAGUGAAUCAGUUAAACCAGUUUUACCUCUGUUUUCAUUGAAAAGCUGACCUGGGCCAAUUUCUUCUUCUUAAGCCCAUUAUAAAGAUGUGCUGUAUAUCUACCUUAUUACUGUUUUAAGUCCAAUGAGUGUACUGUUUCUGGGUUCUUCUACACCUUGUAAAGUUUACACUUAAAGAUGUAGACAUGAAUUUUUAAAAAGUGGAAAAAAAGGAAAAAGAUAAAUGAGGCAGAAACACCAAACAAUCAAAUGAAAGAUGUCAAUCAGUAUUUCUUUCAGUAGUUCCAUGUGCGCCUAGAAACGUUUAAGCUAACCUACAGCUGCAGGUUAGUUUGAUGCUUUUAUUUCUUUCUGUUAGUACCUAAGUUCUAUAUUACCAGGCAAAUAACUAGAAGUUAAACUGUUUCAGUUGAAAACAUGUAAGAAGUUGUAUGUGGAUUACCACUACCAUUCAGUCAUAGGUGAUGGAAAGGGAGAGGGGUGGGAACAUGUUUUAAAUAUUCCCUUUUAAAACAGAAUUGUAAAUAAGCAGUACUGUGUUAUUUUAGACCUGAGCUCUGCUAUCUGUAGUGGUUAGAACUAGGAAAACAUGCUGCUUUCUAGUUAUGCUGCUGUUUCAUUGUACCAGCACCAUGGGGGAAAAUAAAUACAUCCGUAAAUUUUUCUAACAUUGCCCACACCUGGGUAAGCAUGCUUGAUGUGUAGCAGUUCUCGUUUCUGUAUAUGUUAGUGUGUACGUGUGUGUUUUCUUUUUCCCUUAUGUUCAUUGCAACUUAUUCUUCAGUUAAGUCUUGCUGAGCCCCACUAGCUCUUCUGAGGAUGAUUACUGGAAUAUGCAUUUUUAGGUAGGGUUGCAAAUCCAUCUGUCUACAAAUAUAGUUUCAUAUGAACUGCAAAUUGUACUGUUACAAACUCGACUAUGUUAGAUUGCAUAGAGUUAUUUUACUUACAUGUACUUGGACUGAACUAUGUCAUCAUAAUGAAGUUAAAAAAUUAAGUAUGGAAUAUUUUUGUAAAUAAAAAUACCUGUGCAGCUGGUAUUUUAAACUUAAAAUGUAUUAUACAUUAAUGUUUCAGAAAAAAAUGUUCAUAUAUGUGUAUAUGAAUGUGUCAUUAUGCUGAAGGGCUCUUGAUCGGGCAAAAUAAACUA
This 2384-nucleotide long non-coding RNA is filed under the name Taeniopygia guttata (zebra finch). Its description in RNAcentral is "lncRNA (ENSTGUG00000028802.1)". Lineage: Eukaryota; Metazoa; Chordata; Aves; Passeriformes; Estrildidae. The record is from RNAcentral.